CAGUGGGGUAGAGGUGCGAUAUUUAACAGUCUAUAGAGGAGCCCGAGGAGCCAUGAAACUACAGAGAAGGAAAUGUCGCCGAAACUUGUAAUGAACCUCAUUUAUUACUUGUUGGGUCUGCAGUUAAUAUCUGCAGGACUGUCUCAAUAAACGUCCCGGUUUAUUGAGGUGUGCUAUCUCAUUG
This 184-nucleotide non-coding RNA is filed under the name Schinkia azotoformans LMG 9581. RNAcentral's name for it is "Bacillus azotoformans LMG 9581 Lysine riboswitch aptamer". It matches the Rfam family "Lysine riboswitch aptamer". From Rfam's summary of the family: Riboswitches are metabolite binding domains within certain messenger RNAs that serve as precision sensors for their corresponding targets. The record is from Rfam by way of RNAcentral. Lineage: Bacteria; Bacillati; Bacillota; Bacilli; Caryophanales; Bacillaceae.